Molecule: ribosomal RNA, 233 nt
Filed under: uncultured Enterobacterales bacterium
Lineage: Bacteria; Pseudomonadati; Pseudomonadota; Gammaproteobacteria; Enterobacterales
Description: partial 16S ribosomal RNA
Rfam family: Bacterial small subunit ribosomal RNA
Source: RNAcentral
CGGACGGGUGAGUAAUGUCUUGGGAAACUGCCUGAUGGAGGGGGAUAACUACUGGAAACGGUAGCUAAUACCGCAUAACGUCGCAAGACCAAAGAGGGGGACCCUCGGGCCUCUUGCCAUCGGAUGUGCCCAGAUGGGAUUAGCUUGUUGGUGGGGUAACGGCUCACCAAGGCGACGAUCCCUAGCUGGUCUGGGAGGAUGACCAGCCACACUGGAACUGAGACACGGUCCAG